This 492-nucleotide ribosomal RNA is filed under the name uncultured bacterium. RNAcentral's name for it is "partial 16S ribosomal RNA". It matches the Rfam family "Bacterial small subunit ribosomal RNA", at positions 29 to 507 of the family's 1533-position model. The record is from RNAcentral.
AGUGAACGCUGGCGGUAGGCCUAACACAUGCAAGUCGAACGGCAGCACAGUAAGAGCUUGCUCUUACGGGUGGCGAGUGGCGGACGGGUGAGGAAUACAUCGGAAUCUACUUUUUCGUGGGGGAUAACGUGGGGAAACUUACGCUAAUACCGCAUACGACCUACGGGUGAAAGCAGGGGAUCUUCGGACCUUGCGCGAUUGAAUGAGCCGAUGUCGGAUUAGCUAGUUGGCGGGGUAAAGGCCCACCAAGGCGACGAUCCGUAGCUGGUCUGAGAGGAUGAUCAGCCAUACUGGGACUGAGACACGGUCCAGACUCCUACGGGAGGCAGCAGUGGGGAAUAUUGGACAAUGGGCGCAAGCCUGAUCCAGCCAUACCGCGUGGGUGAAGAAGGCCUUCGGGUUGUAAAGCCCUUUUGUUGGGAAAGAAAAGCAGCAGGUUAAUACCCCGCUGUUCUGACGGUACCCAAAGAAUAAGCACCGGCUAACUUCGUG